Molecule: ribosomal RNA, 1883 nt
Filed under: Klebsiella pneumoniae
Lineage: Bacteria; Pseudomonadati; Pseudomonadota; Gammaproteobacteria; Enterobacterales; Enterobacteriaceae
Description: bacterial LSU rRNA
Rfam family: Bacterial large subunit ribosomal RNA
Source: RNAcentral
GUGGGAAACGAUGUGGGAAGGCACAGACAGCCAGGAUGUUGGCUUAGAAGCAGCCAUCAUUUAAAGAAAGCGUAAUAGCUCACUGGUCGAGUCGGCCUGCGCGGAAGAUGUAACGGGGCUAAACCAUGCACCGAAGCUGCGGCAGCGACACUAUGUGUUGUUGGGUAGGGGAGCGUUCUGUAAGCCUGCGAAGGUGUGCUGUGAGGCAUGCUGGAGGUAUCAGAAGUGCGAAUGCUGACAUAAGUAACGAUAAAGCGGGUGAAAAGCCCGCUCGCCGGAAGACCAAGGGUUCCUGUCCAACGUUAAUCGGGGCAGGGUGAGUCGACCCCUAAGGCGAGGCCGAAAGGCGUAGUCGAUGGGAAACAGGUUAAUAUUCCUGUACUUGGUGUUACUGCGAAGGGGGGACGGAGAAGGCUAUGUUAGCCGGGCGACGGUUGUCCCGGUUUAAGCAUGUAGGCUGGUUAUCCAGGCAAAUCCGGAUAAUCAAGGCUGAGGUGUGAUGACGAGGCACUACGGUGCUGAAGUAACAAAUGCCCUGCUUCCAGGAAAAGCCUCUAAGCAUCAGGUAACAUCAAAUCGUACCCCAAACCGACACAGGUGGUCAGGUAGAGAAUACCAAGGCGCUUGAGAGAACUCGGGUGAAGGAACUAGGCAAAAUGGUGCCGUAACUUCGGGAGAAGGCACGCUGGUGUGUAGGUGAAGUCCCUGCGGAUGGAGCUGAGACCAGUCGAAGAUACCAGCUGGCUGCAACUGUUUAUUAAAAACACAGCACUGUGCAAACACGAAAGUGGACGUAUACGGUGUGACGCCUGCCCGGUGCCGGAAGGUUAAUUGAUGGGGUUAUCCGUAAGGAGAAGCUCUUGAUCGAAGCCCCGGUAAACGGCGGCCGUAACUAUAACGGUCCUAAGGUAGCGAAAUUCCUUGUCGGGUAAGUUCCGACCUGCACGAAUGGCGUAAUGAUGGCCAGGCUGUCUCCACCCGAGACUCAGUGAAAUUGAACUCGCUGUGAAGAUGCAGUGUACCCGCGGCAAGACGGAAAGACCCCGUGAACCUUUACUAUAGCUUGACACUGAACAUUGAGCCUUGAUGUGUAGGAUAGGUGGGAGGCUUUGAAGCGUGGACGCCAGUCUGCGUGGAGCCAACCUUGAAAUACCACCCUUUAAUGUUUGAUGUUCUAACGUUGGCCCCUUACCGGGGUUGCGGACAGUGUCUGGUGGGUAGUUUGACUGGGGCGGUCUCCUCCCAAAGCGUAACGGAGGAGCACGAAGGUUAGCUAAUCCUGGUCGGACAUCAGGAGGUUAGUGCAAUGGCAUAAGCUAGCUUGACUGCGAGCGUGACGGCGCGAGCAGGUGCGAAAGCAGGUCAUAGUGAUCCGGUGGUUCUGAAUGGAAGGGCCAUCGCUCAACGGAUAAAAGGUACUCCGGGGAUAACAGGCUGAUACCGCCCAAGAGUUCAUAUCGACGGCGGUGUUUGGCACCUCGAUGUCGGCUCAUCACAUCCUGGGGCUGAAGUAGGUCCCAAGGGUAUGGCUGUUCGCCAUUUAAAGUGGUACGCGAGCUGGGUUUAGAACGUCGUGAGACAGUUCGGUCCCUAUCUGCCGUGGGCGCUGGAGAAUUGAGGGGGGCUGCUCCUAGUACGAGAGGACCGGAGUGGACGCAUCACUGGUGUUCGGGUUGUCAUGCCAAUGGCACUGCCCGGUAGCUAAAUGCGGAAGAGAUAAGUGCUGAAAGCAUCUAAGCACGAAACUUGCCCCGAGAUGAGUUCUCCCUGAGACUUUAAGUCUCCUGAAGGAACGUUGAAGACGACGACGUUGAUAGGCCGGGUGUGUAAGCGCAGCGAUGCGUUGAGCUAACCGGUACUAAUGAACCGUGAGGCUUAACCUU